CUACAUUUCACAGUCUUUCUCCUCGUUUGCACAUAACAGUGAUGGACUGAAUGGUACCGGGACAUGCCCUUCAGCUUGUGCCCAAGGUGCAAUGGAAACAUGCCUGCCAGCACCAUGGAAUCAAGAAGCUAAAGGUCACUGCACAGAAUCUGUCCAUCACACAGACCUUGCCUCAGGAAUGCAGCCACUGGAUCCAUCCUUUGGUGAGCAAUGUAAGCUUGGUCAUUCUGAAUGUCUGUUCUCUCAUCUUGAUGUUUUCCUUUGACAUUAAAGAGCCAAUUGCUGGUAUUUUGCUGGAUUUAGUUUGGAUAGAAUGGAAGCAGUCAGAUUUCAUCCUUUUAUAUAAUUCUAGCCUAGCCCUGGAGACAGCUGUGAAUCCACAGAGGUCUGACUUCUAUUCAUAACUGGUUUCAGUCCUGUGUUGCUUAUUGUGUGUGUCUGAGAUCAGUAAAAAUUAAACAUCGAUUAAAAGUUUUCUGAUGGCAGUAACUGAAAAGGCAAUGGGAUACUCAGAAAUUAUUUUCUACUCCACAGUUUUUUUCAUAAGCUUUUUUCUUAGUAUCUGUUUGCCAUGGGAUCUAUAGCUGCCUGUCUUAUAA
RNAcentral lists this long non-coding RNA (599 nucleotides) under Anser brachyrhynchus (Pink-footed goose). RNAcentral describes it as "lncRNA (ENSABRG00000012014.1)". The record is from RNAcentral. Lineage: Eukaryota; Metazoa; Chordata; Aves; Anseriformes; Anatidae.